RNAcentral lists this ribosomal RNA (227 nucleotides) under uncultured bacterium. RNAcentral describes it as "partial 16S ribosomal RNA". It matches the Rfam family "Bacterial small subunit ribosomal RNA", at positions 123 to 334 of the family's 1533-position model. The record is from RNAcentral.
AACCUGCCCUUCAGAGGGGGACAACAGUUGGAAACGACUGCUAAUACCGCAUACGAUCCAAUCCCGGCAUCGGGACUGGAUGAAAGGUGGCCUCUAUUUAUAAGCUAUCGCUGGAGGAGGGGAUUGCGUCUGAUUAGCUAGUUGGAGGGGUAACGGCCCACCAAGGCAAUGAUCAGUAGCCGGUCUGAGAGGAUGAACGGCCACAUUGGGACUGAGACACGGCCCAG